This 476-nucleotide ribosomal RNA is filed under the name Helicobacter pylori. RNAcentral describes it as "bacterial LSU rRNA". It matches the Rfam family "Bacterial large subunit ribosomal RNA", at positions 1783 to 2257 of the family's 2925-position model. Lineage: Bacteria; Pseudomonadati; Campylobacterota; Epsilonproteobacteria; Campylobacterales; Helicobacteraceae. The record is from RNAcentral.
AAAGAGUCCCCCCCGACUGUUUACCAAAAACACAGCACUUUGCCAACUCGUAAGAGGAAGUAUAAGGUGUGACGCCUGCCCGGUGCUCGAAGGUUAAGAGGAUGCGUCAGUCGCAAGAUGAAGCGUUGAAUUGAAGCCCGAGUAAACGGCGGCCGUAACUAUAACGGUCCUAAGGUAGCGAAAUUCCUUGUCGGUUAAAUACCGACCUGCAUGAAUGGCGUAACGAGAUGGGAGCUGUCUCAACCAGAGAUUCAGUGAAAUUGUAGUGGAGGUGAAAAUUCCUCCUACCCGCGGCAAGACGGAAAGACCCCGUGGACCUUUACUACAACUUAGCACUGCUAAUGGGAAUAUCAUGCGCAGGAUAGGUGGGAGGCUUUGAAGUAAGGGCUUUGGCUCUUAUGGAGCCAUCCUUGAGAUACCACCCUUGAUGUUUCUGUUAGCUAACUGGCCUGUGUUAUCCACAGGCAGGACAAUGC